GACGAACGCUGGCGGCGUGCUUAACACAUGCGAGUCGAACGGAAAGGCCCUGCUUUUGUGGGGUGCUCGAGUGGCGAACGGGUGAGUAACACGUGAGUAACCUGCCCUUGACUUUGGGAUAACUUCAGGAAACUGGGGCUAAUACCGGAUAGGAGCUCCUGCUGCAUGGUGGGGGUUGGAAAGUUUCGGCGGUUGGGGAUGGACUCGCGGCUUAUCAGCUUGUUGGUGGGGUAGUGGCUUACCAAGGCUUUGACGGGUAGCCGGCCUGAGAGGGUGACCGGCCACAUUGGGACUGAGAUACGGCCCAGACUCCUACGGGAGGCAGCAGUGGGGAAUAUUGCACAAUGGGCGGAAGCCUGAUGCAGCAACGCCGCGUGCGGGAUGACGGCC
Molecule: ribosomal RNA, 390 nt
Filed under: uncultured bacterium
Lineage: Bacteria
Description: bacterial SSU rRNA
Rfam family: Bacterial small subunit ribosomal RNA
Source: RNAcentral